Molecule: long non-coding RNA, 3235 nt
Organism: Homo sapiens (human)
Lineage: Eukaryota; Metazoa; Chordata; Mammalia; Primates; Hominidae
Gene: ENTPD1-AS1
Product: ENTPD1 antisense RNA 1
Source: Ensembl
AAGGCCAUGAUUUUUAGACAAGGGUCUUAAAAAUAUUCCUUAUAGAUGUGCUACAAAAAAUAUUUUUGACAUACACAACCCAGUAGUCCUUUCUUCUAUCAUUCAGUAGUUUUUAAAUCUGUAUCACUGAGGUGAGAGCAUUAGCAGAUCACUGCCCUCAGAAAUUGAAGUGCAAGGCAAGGAGAAAAGUAAAGCAUGGCACCCUAAAGGGAAAGAACAAGAGAAGGAAGGAUAUAAAAAGGUAUAGAAAUCAAAAGAAAAGUCAGGAAAAGAGAAGUGCUGGAAUAGAAAAACUGGAAUAGAAAAUAAGGCCACAGAAGAGAGAAAAGGUUGAAGGGACACAAAGAGGUGUAUAGAGAAAGUCAUUAUGUGCCUUUCCCCGAUUUACAAUAUAUUUUCUCCAGUUAUCUAUGACAUUAUUCUGUAUAUACCUGGUUAGAUGUUAACUCCUGCCUGAACCUAGUGUGGGUUAUUUUGGUAUUUCUUUAGAGACUACUCAGUUUUUCUCUCAUAACUUUUCUACUAAUAUCUCAUCUAUCUUCCUCACCUUCUUCACUUGACAGGAAUCUUGGUACCAAUAAUUGCAGAGGUAGAAGUCAGAGAAUGGCCUGUCCAGAAGACAGCCAAAUACAUCCUUCAAACAGACUUCACUGCAGGAGACAGAGUGGAUUCAUCCUGUAUUCUCCAUGUAGACUUCCAUCUUCAUGAGUACUCCAAGAAGAUGGUUCAGUUGACUAUUGCAAAGGUAAAAAUCCAAGAGAUACAGAUACAGAAUAGGACAGAGAGACAUAUUUUUAAGCUAUUGAUUACAAUUAUGGUAUGCCUAUAGAUUGCAGAACCGAGGAGAAAGGGAACAUUAUGAUUUACCAUCAAGAAAAACUUAGAAUUGGUGCUGAGUAGUUCAUUCUAAGAAUUACCAUUUAUCUGUAUUUGCCCCCAUUUUCAUUGUUACUAGGCCAAAAGUCAUUUCAUAAUUAAUAAGUUGGAUGUCAAAAUCAACUUGUGUUAUUAUAAAAUUAGCAAUCUACAUUAUGUGUUUCUUUACAUUUUUAUAGGAGUAUUUAUAAAUAUACCUAAGAAAACUGACAAUGUGGAGUACAAAUGUUGCAUUUUCAAAACUGGGAAUCUGUUUAUUGAGGCUCUAUUUUUAGUUAUGUAUGAUAAUAGACUGCAUUUCAGGUUUCAAACCUUGUAAAAAUAAUUUCCUUAUGAUAUGUUUACUCAUUUUGCAAAUAAUUAUUGUGUCAUAUAGCAAGAGAUUGUACUUCCAUUCAGCUGGUUAAAGUACAAAAUCAUUGAUAUGGUUUGGCUGUGUCCCCACCCAAAUCUCAACUUGAAUUGUACCUUCCAGAAUUCCCACAGGACCCAGGGGGAGGUAAUUGAAUCAAGGGGGCUGGUCUUUCCCAUGCUAUUCUUGUGAUAGUGAAUAAGUCUCACGAGAUCUGAUGGUUUUAUCAGGGGUUUCUGCUUUUGCUGCUUCUUCAUUUUUCUCUUGCUGCUGCCGUGUAAGAAAUGCCUUUCACCUCCUGCCAUGAUUCUGAGGCCUCCCCAGCCAGGUGGAACUAUAAGUCCAAUUAAACCUCUUUUUGUUCCCAGUCUCAGGUAUGUCUUUAUCAGCAGCAUGAAAAUGGACUAAUAGUACCAGUAGAGUGGGGCAUUGCUGAAAAGAUACCCGAAAAUGUGGAAGCAACUUUGGAACUGGGUGUUGAAAUAAUCUGGAGGGCUCAGAAGAAGAUAGGAAAAUGUAGGAAAGUUUGGAACCUCCUAGAGACUGUGAAUGGCAUUGACAAAAAUACUGAUAGUGAUAUGAACAAUAAGGUCCAGGCUGAGGUGGUCUCAGAUGGAGAUGAAGACCUUGUUGGGAACUGAAGUAAAGGUGACCCUUGUUAUGUUUUAGCAAGGAGACUGGCAGCAUUUCACCCUUGCCCUAGAGAUUUGUGGAACUUAGAGCUUGAGAGAGAUGACUUAGGGUAUCUGGUGGAAUAAAUUUCUAAGCAGCAAAGCAUUCAAAAGGUGACUUGGGUGCUGUUAAAAACAUUCUGUUUUAAAAGGGAAACAAGAGCAUAAAUGUGGAAAAUCUGCAGCCUGAUGAUGCAGUAGAAAAGAAAAACCCAUUUUUUUUAAGGAGAAAUUCAAGCUGGCUGCAGAAAUUUGCAUAAGCAGCAAGGAGCCUAAUGUUAAUCCCCAAGACCAUGGGGAAAAUGUCUCCAGGUCAUGUCAGAGACCUUCAUGGCAGCCCCUCCCAUCACAGGCCCAGAGGCCCAGGAGGAAAAAGUGGUUUUGUGGGCUGGGCCCAGGGUCUCUGUGCUGUGUGCAGCCUAGGGACUUGGUGCCCUGUGUCCCAGCUGCUCCAGCCAUGGCUGAAAGGAGCCAACAUAGAGCUUGGGCUGUGGCUUCAGAGGGUAGAGGCCCCAAGCAUUGGCAGCUUCCAUGUGAUGUUGAGCCUGUGGGUGCAGAGAUGUCAAGAAUUGAGAUUUGGGAACCUCUGCCUAGAUUUCAGAAUAUAUAUGGAAACACCUGGAUGUCCAGGCAAAAGUUUGCUGCAGGGGCAGAGCCCUCAUGGGGAACCUCUCCUAGGGCAGUGUGGAAGGGAAAUGUGGGGCAGAGCCCCCACACAGAGUCCCUGUUGGGGCACUGCCUAGUGGAGCUGUGAGAAGAAGGCCACAGUCCCAGAACGGUAGACCCCAGAAUGGUAGACCCCAGAAUGGUAGAUCAACCACCAACUUGCAUCUUGUGCCUGGAAAAGCUACAGACACUCAACAUCAGCCUGAGAAAGCAGCCAGGAGGGAGGCUGUACUCUGCAAAGCCACAGGGGCGGAGCUGCACAAGACCAUGGGAACCUAUCUCUUGCAUCAGCAUGACCUGAAUGUGAGACAUGGAGUCAAAGGAGAUCAUUAUGGAGCUUUAAAAUUUGACUGCCCCACUGGAUUUCAGACUUGCAUGGACCCUGUAACCCCUUUGUUUUGGCCAAUUUCUCUCAUUUGGAACAGCUGUAUUUACCCAAUACCUGUACCCCCCAUUGUAUCUAGGAGGUAACUAGCUUGCUUUUACAGGCUUGUAAGUGGAAGGGACUUGCCUUGUCUCAGAUGAGACUUUGGACUGUGGACUUUUGGGUUAAUGCUGAAAUGAGUUAAGACUUUGGGGAACUGUUGGGAAGGAAUGAUUGGUUUUGAAAUGUGAGGAUUAUGAAAUUUGGAGGAGCCCAGGGAGGAAUGAUAUGGUUUGGCUGUGUCCC